This 926-nucleotide small RNA is filed under the name Pongo abelii (Sumatran orangutan). RNAcentral's name for it is "retained intron". The record is from RNAcentral. Lineage: Eukaryota; Metazoa; Chordata; Mammalia; Primates; Hominidae.
AUCUUGUGAUUCCUUUUUCCUCCUGAACCCUCCGGUGGGGGUGCGAGUUUGUCUUUAUCACCCCCACCCCACCGCCUUCUUUUCUUCUCGCUCUCCUACCCCUCCCCAGCUUGGUGGGCGCCUCUUUCCUUUCUCGCCCCCUUUCAUUUUUAUUUAUUCAUAUUUAUUUGGCGCCCGCUCUCUCUCUGUCCCUUUGCCUCCCUCCCUCCGGAUCCCCGCUCUCUCCCCGGAGUGGCGCGUCGGGGGCUCCGCCGCUGGCCAGGCGUGAUGUUGCACGUGGAGAUGUUGACGCUGGUGUUUCUGGUGCUCUGGAUGUGUGUGUUCAGCCAGGACCCGGGCUCCAAGGCCGUCGCCGACCGCUACGCUGUCUACUGGAACAGCAGCAACCCCAGAUUCCAGAGGGGUGACUACCAUAUUGAUGUCUGUAUCAAUGACUACCUGGAUGUUUUCUGCCCUCACUAUGAGGACUCCGUCCCAGAAGAUAAGACUGAGCGCUAUGUCCUGUACAUGGUGAACUUUGAUGGCUACAGUGCCUGCGACCACACUUCCAAAGGGUUCAAGAGAUGGGAAUGUAACCGGCCUCACUCUCCAAAUGGACCACUGAAGUUCUCUGAAAAAUUCCAGCUCUUCACUCCCUUUUCUCUAGGAUUUGAAUUCAGGCCAGGCCGAGAAUAUUUCUACAUCUGUGAGUAUAUAGAGAUUUAUCGUGUUGUAGGGCAGCUGCAAGAGCCCAGACUAAUUUUUUACCCAUGUUUCAGAGAAUUGCAGAGAGCUGGACUCUGCAUUACAGAUGUCUCCUUGUAAAUGCGUAGAUCAGGAUCCCUAGAUACAUUAGCUGGGAAUUGAGAGCACAAAUUAGAUUAAAGACAGAGCGCCUCUCCCCCUAUGAAAUUACGUGUCAGCCUGUUCACUGAACCACUGCUGAC